RNAcentral lists this ribosomal RNA (704 nucleotides) under Meloidogyne hapla. Its description in RNAcentral is "eukaryotic LSU rRNA". It matches the Rfam family "Eukaryotic large subunit ribosomal RNA", at positions 403 to 965 of the family's 3401-position model. The record is from RNAcentral. Lineage: Eukaryota; Metazoa; Nematoda; Chromadorea; Rhabditida; Meloidogynidae.
AACCGGUGAGGAGGAAACGGAUGGAGUCGGCGUAUCUUGCGAGUAUUCAUUUACUUUAUUAUUGUGUUGUUGUCUCUGAGCUCCAGAUUGGGACAGAGGAAAGCAGCAUGAUUUAAUGUGAUGCAUUUACGUGUCUGGUGUGUGGGGGUAUCUAAGAUGGAUUUGCAACAAAUGCUAAGAGAGGACAAUUGUUGGUUUGCAAAUGGGUCAACCUUAUGGAUCUUGGGAUUGCCUGUUCAGGGUACAUGGAUGAAACGUAUUGAACCAGGGGCAAGUUACCGGCCCAUGGCCGCCGGGCUUUUCAUUUAGUUCGGUGCAAUUAAUGCUCUCGUACUCUCCCCCCCUGUAAAAGCCGGUCCUCUAUUUGACCCGUCUUGAAACCCCGACCAAGGAGUUUAACGUGUGCUCAAGUUUUUGGGUGUUUAAAACCUAGAAGCGAAAUGAAAGUAAAUGAUUCUUUACAGUCUGAUGUGCAAUCUUUUUUCAGAAAAGUGCAUCCUGGCCCCCUUCUAACUGUUUACAGUAAGGUGGCGGAAGAGCGUACGCGGUGAGACCCCAAAGAUGGUGAACUAUUCCUGAGCAGGACGAAGCCCGAGGAAACUCUGGUGGAAGUCCGAAGCGGUUCUGACGUGCAAAUCGAUCGUCUGACUUGGGUAUAGGGGCGAAAGACUAAUCGAACCAUCUAGUAGCUGGUUCCUUCCGAA